RNAcentral lists this ribosomal RNA (432 nucleotides) under uncultured bacterium. RNAcentral's name for it is "partial 16S ribosomal RNA". It matches the Rfam family "Bacterial small subunit ribosomal RNA", at positions 29 to 506 of the family's 1533-position model. The record is from RNAcentral.
AACGAACGCUAGCGGCAUGCCUAACACAUGCAAGUCGAACGAGACCUUCGGGUCUAGUGGCGCACGGGUGCGUAACGCGUGGGAACCUGCCCUUAGGUUCGGAAUAACUCCCCGAAAGGGGUGCUAAUACCGGAUAAUGUCUUCGGACCAAAGAUUUAUCGCCUUUGGAUGGGCCCGCGUUGGAUUAGCUAGUUGGUAGGGUAAAAGCCUCCCAAGGCGACGAUCCAUAGCUGGUCUGAGAGGAUGAUCAGCCACACUGGGACUGAGACACGGCCCAGACUCCUACGGGAGGCAGCAGUGGGGAAUAUUGGACAAUGGGCGAAAGCCUGAUCCAGCAAUGCCGCGUGAGUGAUGAAGGCCUUAGGGUGGUAAAGCUCUUUUACCCGGGAUGAUAAUGACAGUACCGGGAGAAUAAGCUCCGGCUAACUCCGU